RNAcentral lists this ribosomal RNA (305 nucleotides) under uncultured bacterium. RNAcentral's name for it is "bacterial SSU rRNA". It matches the Rfam family "Bacterial small subunit ribosomal RNA", at positions 337 to 639 of the family's 1533-position model. The record is from RNAcentral.
GCCUACGGGACGCAGCAGUGAGGAAUAUUGGUCAAUGGGCGGGAGCCUGAACCAGCCAAGUCGCGUGAGGGAAGACGGUCCUACGGAUUGUAAACCUCUUUUGCCGGGGAGCAACGGGGUCCUUGCGAGGGCCCAAUGAGAGUACCCGGAGAAAAAGCAUCGGCUAACUCCGUGCCAGCAGCCGCGGUAAUACGGAGGAUGCGAGCGUUAUCCGGAUUUAUUGGGUUUAAAGGGUGCGUAGGCGGGACCUUAAGUCAGCGGUAAAAUUGCGGUGCUCAACGCCGUAGAGCCGUUGAAACUGGGGG